CCUACGGGAGGCAGCAGUGAGGAAUAUUGGUCAAUGGGCGGGAGCCUGAACCAGCCAAGUCGCGUGAAGGAAGAAGGUACUUAGUAUUGUAAACUUCUUUUGUCGGGGAACAAAGUCGGAGACGCGUCUCCUGAUGAGUGUACCCUACGAAAACGCAUCGGCUAACUCCGUGCUAGCAGCCGCGGUAAUACGGAGGAUGCGAGCGUUACCCGGAAUUAUUGGGUUUAAAGGGUGCGCAGGCGGGGGAUCAAGUCAGCGGUAAAAUGUCGGGGCUCAACCCCGGCCGGCCGUUGAUACUGGUAAACUAGAGUUAGAGAGAAGUAAGCGGAAUUCGUGGUGUAGCGGUGAAAUGCAUAGAUAUCACGAAGAACUCCGAUUGCGAAGGCAGCAUACCGGGUCCAUACUGACGCUGAGGCACGAAAGCGUGGGGAUCGAACAGGAUUAGAUACCCUAGUAGUC
This 459-nucleotide ribosomal RNA is filed under the name uncultured bacterium. Its description in RNAcentral is "partial 16S ribosomal RNA". It matches the Rfam family "Bacterial small subunit ribosomal RNA", at positions 338 to 795 of the family's 1533-position model. The record is from RNAcentral.